AAGUAAACUCCUUGAAAAAACCUUUUUUGGAAUUUCAUCAAAGUAUAAUCAAACUACUAUGAACAAGAUAGUGUUGUAAUCCAACCCAAGUAACAAAUGAAGAAUAAUAAAAAUUUUUGUUUACUUAACCGGAAAGAACCAAGUCGGUGUGCUUACUUAAUAUCCGGCGAAAGAUUAAUAGAGAUUUUGUUUAAUCACUUGACUUAGAAAGAAUUAAUAACUCAAAAUCCUUCGCAAAUUACACCCGUCCGUCCGUCCUUCCGUCCGUCGUUAUUAAUCUCCGGCGAAAGAAGUAUGCGAACGCCAGCUGGAAAACCGAACAACAUCAACGUCGAUGAUCGAAUUCCUCUUCGCAAUUAUUACCGAGUCGCCGAUAAUUUUCUUUAAAAGGCAGACAUAUAUCGAGAAGAAAAGAAUAUUGUAGAUUUGUAUGUUACGCUUCUAAAAUAUUCAAGCUUGAUACUUGAAACUAUAAGAUUUCAUAGUGACUACCAACUUUUAUGUUCAAAGGAACGAGCAUAUACCAAGAAGCAAUUACAUCUGGUGUUAAAUGAACUGGAAUUUUUGAAACCAGCAGUUGAUCAUCAAUUAGUAGCUGGCUUAAACAAGUGUCAUAUUAGAAGCAAAGAAUAUCAACCAAAUGGCCAUGGAGGAAUCCCACAUAGGUCAGGGGAUUCUUCUUCUCUACCACCUGCUGUCAAUAUUACAAUUUCUUUUGGCUCUGAUGAUAAGCAGCUUCACCAAAAGGAAAGUGCACUCUCCUGGAUGCAGAAUCUUAGGUGUACUUUAAGUUGUUUGUUUUGAGGACAUAAACGACUGAUUUCUGCAACUAAAGAUAUCUAAAGAUCCUCAAGCUAUAAAUAUAAUGUUGUUUUGUUUAUUUUAUAAACUGAAUAUUGUCCGCACAAAUAUAAUCUUGUUUUUAUUAUAUAAAAUACCAAACCAUCAUUUGUUAUUUGUUUAUCCUCGAUAUAAAUAGUGUAUAUUUUAUUAUUUUUCAGAA
Long non-coding RNA from Erigeron canadensis, 1003 nucleotides. RefSeq lists it as uncharacterized. NCBI's taxonomy places the organism in Eukaryota, Viridiplantae, Streptophyta, Magnoliopsida, Asterales, Asteraceae. The record is from RefSeq and is a predicted model, not a curated record. The transcript has 5 exons.